RNAcentral lists this transfer RNA (71 nucleotides) under Aesopia cornuta. RNAcentral's name for it is "tRNA-Ser". It matches the Rfam family "tRNA". Rfam says of the family: Transfer RNA (tRNA) molecules are approximately 80 nucleotides in length. The record is from RNAcentral. Lineage: Eukaryota; Metazoa; Chordata; Actinopteri; Pleuronectiformes; Soleidae.
AAGAAAGUGACAUAGCAGUUAUGUGCUUGGCUUGAAACCGAGUUAUGGGGGUUCGAUUCCUCCCUUUCUCG